CCAGCAGCCGCGGUAAUUCCAGCUCCAGUAGCGUAUAUUAAAGUUGUUGCAGUUAAAAAGCUCGUAGUUGGAUUUCUGGCUUGACAUGCCUGGCCCGCUAGCAGACAAUGCUUGUGAGUGCCGGCGCGUGUCUGCCAUCCUUCUAGAAAACGGUGCUACCUUUCAUUAGGCCGGCUCCGCGAUCUAGAUCUUUUACUUUGAAAAAAUUAGAGUGUUCAAAGCAGGCUUGCGCUAUGAAUACAUUAGCAUGGAAUAAUAAUCUAGGACUUUUGUCUUAUUUUGUUGGUUUCUAAGAUGAAAGUAAUGAUUGAUAGGGAUAGUUGGGGGUGCUAGUAUUCAGCGGC
RNAcentral lists this ribosomal RNA (344 nucleotides) under uncultured eukaryote. RNAcentral describes it as "SSU rRNA". It matches the Rfam family "Eukaryotic small subunit ribosomal RNA", at positions 567 to 905 of the family's 1831-position model. The record is from RNAcentral.